GAUGAACGCUGGCGGCGUGCUUAACACAUGCAAGUCGAACGAUGAAGCCCAGCUUGCUGGGUGGAUUAGUGGCGAACGGGUGAGUAACACGUGAGUAACCUGCCCUUAACUCUGGGAUAAGCCUGGGAAACUGGGUCUAAUACCGGAUAGGAGCGCCUACCGCAUGGUGGGUGUUGGAUAGAUUUAUCGGUUUUGGAUGGACUCGCGGCCUAUCAGCUUGUUGGUGUGGUAAUGGCUCACCAAGGCGACGACGGGUAGCCGGCCUGAGAGGGUGACCGGCCACACUGGGACUGAGACACGGCCCAGACUCCUACGGGAGACAGCAGUGGGGAAUAUUGCACAAUGGGCGAAAGCCUGAUGCAGCGACGCCGCGUGAGGGAUGACGGCCUUCGGGUUGUAAACCUCUUUCAGUAGGGAAGAAGCGAAAGUGACGGUACCUGCAGAAGAAGCUCCGGCUAACUACGUG
Molecule: ribosomal RNA, 466 nt
Filed under: uncultured bacterium
Lineage: Bacteria
Description: partial 16S ribosomal RNA
Rfam family: Bacterial small subunit ribosomal RNA
Source: RNAcentral